This is a long non-coding RNA of Oncorhynchus tshawytscha (Chinook salmon), 359 nucleotides long. NCBI's taxonomy places the organism in Eukaryota, Metazoa, Chordata, Actinopteri, Salmoniformes, Salmonidae. The record is from Ensembl.
UGGUCUCUAGUCUAGCUGUGUCUCUAGUCUAACUGGUCUCUGGUCUAGCUGGUUUCUAGUCUAGCUGGUCUCUAGAUAAGGUAGAGAUGUAUUGGUGGGAGAGAGAGAUGUAUUGGUUGAAGAGAGAGAGAUGUAUUGGUGGGACAGAGUAGGGAUGUGUUGGUGGGAGAGAAGAGGGAUGUAUUGGUGGGAGAGAGUAGUGAUGUGUUGGUGGGAGAGAAGAGAGAUGUAUUGGUGGGAGAGAGUAGAGAUGUAUUGGUGGGAGAGAGUAGGGAUGUGUUGGUGGGAGAGAGAGAUGUAUUGGUGGGAGAGAGUAGGGAUGUAUUGGUGAGAGAAAGUAGAGAUGUGUUGGUGGGAGA